RNAcentral lists this long non-coding RNA (1063 nucleotides) under Apteryx owenii (little spotted kiwi). RNAcentral describes it as "lncRNA (ENSAOWG00000013299.1)". Lineage: Eukaryota; Metazoa; Chordata; Aves; Apterygiformes; Apterygidae. The record is from RNAcentral.
UAUAAACACAGCCUGGAUGUCCAGCGCUCAGUGCCCAACCCUGGAGCUGAGCCGUCUCCAAGCUCUCAGCUCGUGUGCCCCCCAAACCAGCCAGCAAAAUGCUUGAACGUCUCCCUGGAGUGGCUGGGCUGUGGGUUGGGUGAGACAUUAGCAUGUCACACGUGGAGUGGCACGAGGUGCAGCAGACUUCCAUUGGGCAUGAGGCAGAAAGAGUUGAAAACUGAGCAACUUCUAACCAGUCCUAAAGUGCAAAAAUAGCUCUGGACAGUGUUACCAGUCCUUUCACUGCUGUUCUGAAGGGCUCUAGAAAAUUGGCCCAUCCUGUCCAUCACAGACUCCCAGCAACUAGCUUUCCAGGUGAGAGGCCACAGGUAUUUUAACAGUGGUUCCUCCUGGUGCAUCUCAAGGCACUCCACAAAUGCUAAAGCCUCUGCCACCUCCAGAGCCCACCAGCCUCUUGGGAGCUCCAGGCCACCCUUCUCCCCUGGCUUUCUGCAGCUGGGAGCUGCCGGGGAGGCCCUGCCGGCAUCCAGCCUUCACCUGAGCACGCAGGGACCUGCUCCACCAGGGCCUGGGGGUGGUUGUGGGAAAACUGCAAACGCCUGUUCAGAGUGAUCCCAACCUGUCCCAACCCCAAGUGUUUGGCACCAGGCAGAGCCCGUGUUGUGGAUGAAGGCAGAGAGCCUUUUGGUGUCGCUCGUGCCAUGGAGCCUGGAGCUCUGCAGGGGAGCUGGAUACACCAAGCAGGCAAAGGAACAGCUUUCCCAAGCUGGAAGAUCCCUCCUUCCCUUCCUGCGGGCGUGUGGGAAAAGGGUCAGGCCCAGCUGCUGCAGCCAGCCUGCAGUGAGAGAGGUCGCGGACACGGUGAUGCAAGCUAUCGGCGUCGCGCCAUCUCCCAGCCUGUGCAUUCAGCCUUCCCUCCUUCCACCAGCCGCUGCCGGGAGGAAAGGGUUAAGAAGCAACAAGACUGAGGAACGAGACCAGGGAAUUCAGCUGCUGACGCAGGUAGGAGAUCUGCAGGCAAAGCAUCCCCGUUAUAUAGCAACACGGUGUCACAGCAGUG